AAACCAAAACUACUUCCCUUAACUUCCCAAAACUACUCAAGACGCACAUAUUUUCCUCCAUGCCUUUUUCUUCUAAAAUGACAAUAAUCAGAGAAGACCUCCCCUUGAAAGAAACCCAGGGGCGACGUUUCUAGCUUCUUCUUCUCAUUUUCAGCAACCAACGCAACCAGAAAACGGCCAUCCCUUCCCCUUCUAAAAAAAAAAACCUAGCUGCUAUGAAAGAUCUCAGAAAUUAAGAAACAAAAAUUUCCGGAAAAAAAGAAAAGCAAGGGAAAUGGGAUAGAAAAAGGAUUUCUGUGUUUGCUCAAGUAUAUGGUCGAUUGCUUCAUUCUGGGUUCAUAGGCAUUCUUUUGGUAUUCAAAUGUGGUUGGAUUUGCUGUUUCUACUUCCGCUGGGCUCCGGCUUUUCCUUCACUUUUAUUUGGUUAUUCAAGUUUAUCUCUACUGCUGUUUAGAGGUAUUUAUCUCGAUGUGCUAUAAAUUUGCUGAAAUUGCAAUGAUAUGGUAUGCUGUCUGGUUAAAAUCUGAUUCUCUGUUUCUUUUAGUUUAGUUUAAUUAAAAGAAGAUUCCUUAAAUAAAAAGUUUAGAGCAGACAUAUUUGCAAAAAUUAGCCGGUUUCGUUUGUUUAAAACCAAAUCAUCACAAGUAUAUGAUUUUUUAUUUUUUUUUCUCUUUCGGAAUUAACCUAACCGUUUGUUUGGAAUAUACAUAUAAGAAGACCUAUAUAUAUAUUAAAUGGGGCACCCUCAGUGACAAAGCAGUGCAAGGUGCCACUGGCAAUGUGCAAAGAAUUCCUCCCAAGAGUUUGAAUCUCGCAUGGAACGUGUAUUUUGCUGUAGUUUUGCACUUUUUGGUUUGACAGAAAUACAUGUUUUUACUUCAUAUUUUCUUUUUUUUAGUAAUUAUUUUACUUCAUAUUUUUUUGUGUAUUUUGGCUUGAAACUACCGUGAAUAGUUCCUUUAAGAUGUUUCAGGUUUUGGAUCCGUUGUCAAUUGAAUUCAGGUGAUGGAGAACGGGCUACUGUGAUGUGAAGUCACUGGGCCAAGCCCAAUCUUAAAGGCUGUUAGAGCCUCUGAAAUGAAAUCCUACGGCUACGAGGGUUUAAAGGAAGGGAUUUUUACCUAUCUNN
This 1129-nucleotide long non-coding RNA is filed under the name Nicotiana tabacum (common tobacco). Its description in RNAcentral is "long non-coding RNA (NTAB_LNC007232)". Lineage: Eukaryota; Viridiplantae; Streptophyta; Magnoliopsida; Solanales; Solanaceae. The record is from RNAcentral.